GGAGUUAGCCGGUGCUUCUUCUGUGAGUGAUGUCCUUCCUGCCGGCUAUUAACCCGCAGGCCUUCUUCCUCACUGAAAGUGCUUUACAACCCGAAGGCCUUCUUCACACACGCGGCAUGGCUGGAUCAGGGUUGCCCCCAUUGUCCAAUAUUCCCCACUGCUGCCUCCCGUAGGAGUCUGGGCCGUGUCUCAGUCCCAGUGUGGCUGAUCAUCCUCUCAGACCAGCUACGGAUCGUCGCCUUGGUGAGCCGUUACCUCACCAACCAGCUAAUCCGACAUAGGCUCAUCCGAUAGCGCGAGGCCCGAAGGUCCCCCGCUUUCCCCCGUAGGGCGUAUGCGGUAUUAGCCUGGGUUUCCCCAGGUUAUCCCCCGACUACCGGGCAGAUUCCUAUGCAUUACUCACCCGUCCGCCGCUCGCCACCAGGGAGCAAGCUCCCCGUGCUGCCGCUCGACUUGCAUGUGUAGCUGCCGCCACGCGUCAUCUGAGCACGAAGUACGACCGUACGA
This 507-nucleotide ribosomal RNA is filed under the name uncultured bacterium. RNAcentral's name for it is "partial 16S ribosomal RNA". The record is from RNAcentral.